This 468-nucleotide ribosomal RNA is filed under the name uncultured bacterium. Its description in RNAcentral is "partial 16S ribosomal RNA". It matches the Rfam family "Bacterial small subunit ribosomal RNA", at positions 28 to 507 of the family's 1533-position model. The record is from RNAcentral.
GACGAACGCUGGCGGCGUGCUUAACACAUGCAAGUCGAACGGAAAGGCCCUGCUUUUGUGGGGUGCUCGAGUGGCGAACGGGUGAGUAACACGUGAGUAACCUGCCCUUGACUUUGGGAUAACUUCAGGAAACUGGGGCUAAUACCGGAUAGGAGCUCCUGCUGCAUGGUGGGGGUUGGAAAGUUUCGGCGGUUGGGGAUGGACUCGCGGCUUAUCAGCUUGUUGGUGGGGUAGUGGCUUACCAAGGCUUUGACGGGUAGCCGGCCUGAGAGGGUGACCGGCCACAUUGGGACUGAGAUACGGCCCAGAGUCCUACGGGAGGCAGCAGUGGGGAAUAUUGCACAAUGGGCGGAAGCCUGAUGCAGCAACGCCGCGUGCGGGAUGACGGCCUUCGGGUUGUAAACCGCUUUCGCCUGUGACGAAGCGUGAGUGACGGUAAUGGGUAAAGAAGCACCUGCUAACUACGUG